AACGUAGGAGACAAACGUUAUCCGGAGUUACUGGGCGUAAAGGGCGUGUAGGUGGUUUCGUAAGUCUGGCGUGAAAUAUCUCGGCUUAACCGAGGCAGGUCGUCGGAUACUGCGGGACUAGAGGACGGUAGAGGCGUGUGGAAUUCCGGGUGUAGUGGUGAAAUGCGUAGAGAUCCGGAGGAACACCAGUGGCGAAGGCGGCCUGCUGGGCAGUUGCUGACACUGAGGCGCGACAGCGUGGGGAGCAAACAGG
This 253-nucleotide ribosomal RNA is filed under the name uncultured bacterium. RNAcentral's name for it is "partial 16S ribosomal RNA". It matches the Rfam family "Bacterial small subunit ribosomal RNA", at positions 524 to 776 of the family's 1533-position model. The record is from RNAcentral.